This 76-nucleotide transfer RNA is filed under the name Candidatus Nomurabacteria bacterium. Its description in RNAcentral is "tRNA-Thr". It matches the Rfam family "tRNA". From Rfam's summary of the family: Transfer RNA (tRNA) molecules are approximately 80 nucleotides in length. Lineage: Bacteria; Candidatus Nomuraibacteriota. The record is from RNAcentral.
GCCGCCUUAGCUCAGUUGGUAGAGUGACGCAUUAGUAACGCGUAGGUCGCCAGUUCAAUCCUGGCAGGCGGCUCCA